RNAcentral lists this unclassified non-coding RNA (437 nucleotides) under Hevea brasiliensis (rubber tree). The record is from RNAcentral. Lineage: Eukaryota; Viridiplantae; Streptophyta; Magnoliopsida; Malpighiales; Euphorbiaceae.
AUGAGUGCAAGUCUCCGAUAUUGUUUCUUGACGGUUGCUUCAUCAGACAACCUAUCAAUUUGAAGAAUACCGUACCAGUCCCUUUCUGAUCCUACUCUGUUGUUUUGAGCUGAACAGUGAACAUUACAGACAGCAAGUAACUGGGAUAUGUUCUCUAGUUGAGGGUAAAGUUGUUCUGCUUUCACUGCAACCUUUUUAGCCCCUUCAAAGUCAUUAUUCAACAUUUUCUUCUCCGCAACCUCUUUGGCCCUCAUGGCCUCAUCCUUGUUGCAGUCCAUCACAGAUUCCACUUAAUAAAUCAACCAACCAGGUUAAACAAAAGUUUCUAACUUGCCUUCUUCAUCCCAAUCCCAUUAGAGUAACACGCCUGAUAUGAAAAGGGUCUGAGAGAAAGACCUCAGUUGACACACAAAUAUGGAGAGAGAAAGAGAGUGAAU